CUUGAAUUAGUGGAAGGAAAGAAAGGAGGCUUAUGGCCCUAGCUACUUGAGAGGAUAGUGGUUUUGACUAUGGGGGAGGCAUCGAAAGCAUUAGUGGGGUAGUAGCUGCCGUAAAAAGGAGGUUACCUAGGACUGGAAGUGAAGCAAUUGGCCAAGUAUUGACGGUUGGGUAUAGGUUGAAGGAAAGCUGAUGCUUAUUCACCUACAUUCCUGGGUGCUGGCUGCCUAUUCUCUACGUCAUAGCAAGUGAGUCUCCCAGCUAGAAGUAA
This 269-nucleotide long non-coding RNA is filed under the name Musa acuminata (dwarf banana). RNAcentral describes it as "long non-coding RNA (MACU_LNC008208)". The record is from RNAcentral. Lineage: Eukaryota; Viridiplantae; Streptophyta; Magnoliopsida; Zingiberales; Musaceae.